UACGUAGGGACCAAGCGUUGUUCGGAUUUACUGGGCGUAAAGGGCGCGUAGGCGGCAAUUCAAGUCAGCUGUGAAAUCUCUGGGCUUAACCCAGAACGGCCAGCUGAUACUGCUUUGCUAGAGUGCAGAAGGGGCAAUCGGAAUUCUUGGUGUAGCGGUGAAAUGCGUAGAUAUCAAGAGGAACACCUGAGGUGAAGACGGGUUGCUGGGCUGAUACUGACGCUGAGGCGCGAAAGCUAGGGUAGCAAACGGG
This 253-nucleotide ribosomal RNA is filed under the name uncultured bacterium. RNAcentral's name for it is "partial 16S ribosomal RNA". It matches the Rfam family "Bacterial small subunit ribosomal RNA", at positions 524 to 776 of the family's 1533-position model. The record is from RNAcentral.